GCCUCAGUCUUUCGCCGUGUCUCGCCGUCCCUCGCCAUCGCACGCCAUCGCACGCCACCGCACCCCUUCUCUCGAAAUCUGUAGACAUCUUGAUUUUUCCCACGCUGUCUGUCAGGUCUCCGCCGCCACUCGACGCCAGGGCGCCGGGUGAGUCCACAGCAGGGCGCGUGGUCUGCUCCACUCUCACCAUCGGGGGAAACUGAGGCCCCGGGGAAGGCGGCCAGAGAGAUCAGGCCCGGUCCCUGGUGCAGUGCCUCGUCCUCUUUGCCGGAGUGAGCUCCCCAGGAUUCGCGUGUCCUCGGGAAAACACUGGCGGGCCUUGUGGGUUGUGCUGCUCCUCGGACGGCUUCGCACCAGCCAGCGCCCCCUCUCUCCUGCAGCACUCUGAUCUGCACCCCCUGAGGGGCUUCCACUGUCCGCGGGGUGAGAAUGCCCCUGGGAGUGUCACAUGACUGUCACCCCAUGUGUGUGAGAGGUGUCCUCUGGGAGAGCAUGGACCCUGAGGUCCCAGGAUUGUCAGCUGACCUCUGUCCUGUGUGCCCAGUGGCCCCAGGU
This 555-nucleotide long non-coding RNA is filed under the name Pongo abelii (Sumatran orangutan). RNAcentral describes it as "lincRNA". Lineage: Eukaryota; Metazoa; Chordata; Mammalia; Primates; Hominidae. The record is from RNAcentral.